UCUUCGGAUCGUAAAACUCUGUUAUCAGGGAAGAACAAAUGUGUAAGUAACUGUGCACAUCUUGACGGUACCUGAUCAGAAAGCCACGGCUAACUACGUGCCAGCAGCCGCGGUAAUACGUAGGUGGCAAGCGUUAUCCGGAAUUAUUGGGCGUAAAGCGCGCGUAGGCGGUUUUUUAAGUCUGAUGUGAAAGCCCACGGCUCAACCGUGGAGGGUCAUUGGAAACUGGAAAACUUGAGUGCAGAAGAGGAAAGUGGAAUUCCAUGUGUAGCGGUGAAAUGCGCAGAGAUAUGGAGGAACACCAGUGGCGAAGGCGACUUUCUGGUCUGUAACUGACGCUGAUGUGCGAAAGCGUGGGGAUCAAACAGGAUUAGAUACCCUGGUAGUCCACGCCGUAAACGAUGAGUGCUAAGUGUUAGGGGGUUUCCGCCCCUUAGUGCUGCAGCUAACGCAUUAAGCACUCCGCCUGGGGAGUACGACCGCAAGGUUGAAACUC
Molecule: ribosomal RNA, 496 nt
Filed under: uncultured bacterium
Lineage: Bacteria
Description: bacterial SSU rRNA
Rfam family: Bacterial small subunit ribosomal RNA
Source: RNAcentral